Streptomyces sp. TSRI0281 is the source of this 96-nucleotide regulatory RNA element. It matches the Rfam family "NLPC-P60 RNA". The record is from Rfam. NCBI's taxonomy places the organism in Bacteria, Bacillati, Actinomycetota, Actinomycetes, Kitasatosporales, Streptomycetaceae.
CGGUGCUUGCCUCACCCGACAUCGAGUGAGCGGAUUAAUCAGAUUCGCCUACUUAUACGGGGCUCCUUCACGGCGCUCCGCCCCCGUCCCGGAGGU